AACGAACGCUGGCGGCAUGCCUAACACAUGCAAGUCGAACGAGAUCUUCGGGUCUAGUGGCGCACGGGUGCGUAACGUGUGGGAAUCUGCCCUUUGGUUCGGAAUAACAGUUGGAAACGACUGCUAAUACCGGAUGAUGACGAAAGUCCAAAGAUUUAUCGCCAGAGGAUGAGCCCGCGUAGGAUUAGCUAGUUGGUGUGGUAAAGGCGCACCAAGGCGACGAUCCUUAGCUGGUCUGAGAGGAUGAUCAGCCACACUGGGACUGAGACACGGCCCAGACUCCUACGGGAGGCAGCAGUGGGGAAUAUUGGACAAUGGGCGAAGGCCUGAUCCAGCAAUGCCGCGUGAGUGAUGAAGGCCUUAGGGUUGUAAAGCUCUCUUACCCGGGAUGAUAAUGACAGUACCGGGAGAAUAAGCUCCGGCUAACUCCGUGCCAGCCGCCGCGGUAA
RNAcentral lists this ribosomal RNA (449 nucleotides) under uncultured bacterium. Its description in RNAcentral is "partial 16S ribosomal RNA". It matches the Rfam family "Bacterial small subunit ribosomal RNA", at positions 29 to 523 of the family's 1533-position model. The record is from RNAcentral.